RNAcentral lists this ribosomal RNA (253 nucleotides) under uncultured bacterium. Its description in RNAcentral is "partial 16S ribosomal RNA". It matches the Rfam family "Bacterial small subunit ribosomal RNA", at positions 524 to 776 of the family's 1533-position model. The record is from RNAcentral.
UACGUAGGGGGCAAGCGUUGUCCGGAUUUAUUGGGCGUAAAGAGCGUGUAGGCGGCCUGACAGGUCUGCUGUGAAAACUCGAGGCUCAACCUCGAGAUGUCGGCGGAAACCGUCUGGCUAGAGUCCGGAGGAGGAGAGUGGAAUUCCUGGUGUAGCGGUGAAAUGCGCAGAUAUCAGGAGGAACACCGGUGGCGAAGGCGGAUCUCUGGGCCUUACCUGACGCUCAGGUGCGAAAGCUAGGGGAGCGAACAGG